This is a non-coding RNA of Petromyzon marinus (sea lamprey), 3854 nucleotides long. Lineage: Eukaryota; Metazoa; Chordata; Hyperoartia; Petromyzontiformes; Petromyzontidae. The record is from RefSeq and is a predicted model, not a curated record.
AGUGGAGGCGGUGGCGGGAAAAUCUGAACCCUGUCUGGGCCUCCUCAAGGUCGACUCAGCCUGAAGGUGCCCACACGCUGCUCUGUGUGUGAUCCAACGUAUCUUCAAGACUUCCCUGACGAAGCGCCAGAAGCUGGAGCUCGCCGCCAUGGACGCGGUUUGGUUUUUUACUUUGGACGAGGGGGAGGAGGAAAGCCGAGGGGGCGUCGCCAAUGGGGGAUAUGACGACGACGAUAACAACUACAUCCUUGUGUUGCAGCCCACUUGUCUGGUAAUGAACCAUAAGCUCCAAGCACCCACUGGAGCAGGUGAGCCGUGGCGGGAAAGCAGCUUGUUGGCCGGAGGCUGCCCAGCUUGAGGCGGGCGGCGGUAGCUAUCCACUAGGGUGCAAUGACCCCUCCCACUGACGAUGGAAACCCAUGGCGCCCAUUUUUUUACGCCAAUCUAAAAUGAGCUUAUAACCCGUGAGCUGCUGCCGCCCGUGUUUCUUGGCCACGGUUAGGUGGCCGAGAAGGAGUGUCCUCUCCCCAUUCUUGCACCUCGUGUUGGCGCAAAGCCCGGGCAGGUUACUCUGGAAAUCCUGGUGUUGCCCAUGCGUCAGGAUCCCCCCCCUCGGCCUUGCUGGCGAUGUUCAUACGAGUGCGUAGCACGACGUUUGGUACCAGUUUGGCUGCAGGGGCUGCCGGGAAUGUGCCGCUUUGCGUCACAAAACCGCCUAAGGGGCCCCACUCCUGAUUUUCUGUAGGGGUUUGCUCCCUUAGCCAUUGACUCUCCCGAGACGAUCACAAGGCAGUGAGAAGACCGCGUAACCCUUACCAGGUACUGACGGCCGGGCCAACUGUGCCUGGGACUCGCGUAAGGCAGGGUCAUCACGCCCUGAAGUAGUUUAUCGCAAACUACCCACUACCGAUACAAUAACAACAGUCCCAGACCACACCGAGACAACAACAACAACAGUCUCAGACAACGCCAAGACAACAACAACAACAGAGUAAGUAGCAGAUCCCUAUAAUAAAAUAUACGCAUUAAAAAUGUAACUAUCGAUGAUGCACGGUUAAAGGGGUCAAAAGUUAAUAACCUCAUUUGCAAAUGUGCUUGCUGUAUUCAGCACUAAUCUGGUUCAUGAUCAUUUUGCUGAAGGAAUAUUUACGACGUUAAGCUGAAGGGAACGAGAUUGUUCCAAAACGGUGGUGCUGCGAUGGUAAAAGCUUUGUCAGCUAUUCCAAUUCUCGUUCUUUGGGAUCGUUAAAAAUGGCAAUUAGACGGAUGUCUCAGAUUUAUUGGGUUUGACAGUGGGGUUAAUGAAUUAGCUACAUAUGGAAUGUAAGAAGUUCAAUAAUAGUGUAGCGCAGAUUUGCCAAUAAGGAUUUAAUGGACGAACAGGGCCCUAAUGUUAGAUGAUUUCUUCUUGCGUCGAGGGAUGUGAGAUUUGAUUUUAGGUCUAGAUUUGAGAAUUCGUGACUGCAAGGAUUCAUACUCUUUGGUGUUUUCCGUAAAGUCACGUAGGUAAAAUAAAGUAAAUAAUUUAGUUUUCAUUUAUUUUAUGUACCUACGGUCAGAAUGGUGGGUCCUGUGUGGUACAUCCAGUAGAAAUCAAAGAGCAGAAUUAGAAAUUUCGGUUAGUCUGUUUAGCGUUGCACUAGUCGAUAUACUUUAAGCCGUGUCGUAGUAGCUGAAAAGGAGUGGUAGAAUGAUAGCUUCCACAAUUUACAGGCACAAUAGAUGGGACAACUUUUUUCCCGUGUGAAAACCCUAUUUUUGAUUAGAUUUACUUUCAUAUGUGAUCAAUAUGGGGUUGGAAUGUAAGCUUUUAAUCGAUCAGUAAACCCAAGUAUUUUAAACACUCCGUUUGUUAAAUGAUGUUCUUUCUCAUAUCUGUAAUAGGUGAAUGGAAUGAAACGAUGUUUGUUUUUUUGGGGGGCUUUAGGGGCAAUUUUACUUAUGAAAAUUGAUGUUGAAUUAAGUCGAAAUUAUGUUGGAGAUUCUGUUUGACUUCGUUUGGGGAUUUAUCAAAUAUCCGCAUGACAAGUGUCAUCAGCAAAUUGAUUUAAUUCUGAGUGAUUUAAGUUUAGUCCAAGAUUGUUUCAAUAUAAAAACAGAAUUGGGCCCAGCAUGGAACCCUGUGGAACAGCCUUUGCUAUAUUAAUAUUUGUGGACGUGAGGUUAUCACUUGUAGGAACAGGCUCCUUCAUUACUGUUUGUAUGAAUAUUGUUACAUUCAUUUUAAGGACCUUUUCCUAUCGCCGUAUAUGCUCGCGUUACUCUGAGGAAUUAUUUUAUUGUACUGUCUGAACAUUUUAGCUGGCCAAGUCUUGUGAUUAGAAUAUCUUAGUCAACAGUGUCAAAGGCUUUUACCAAGUCAAAGAAUAGUGCACAGCAGUAGUGGCCUUUAUCCAGGGUACUGAAGAAAACAAUAAUAAUACAUCCAUCGUAGCUGUGGUGGUGCAGGAAUCCUCUCGAAAACCUGUUUACUGCGCAGGAGAUUGUGACUUUUUAGGCAGCAGUUUAUUUGUGAUUUAACUUUUUAUUCCCUCGAAUAUUUUAGCUUACUGGUAAAAUAAUAGAUAUUGGCCUAUAAUUAUUCGGAUCUUUUUGUAGCCAUUUUUAUACAAUGUAUGCAUGUAUGUUGACCUUCUUUCACACCGUAUGUAGCCAACCGUGCUGAUCGGAGGUGCGUAAUGGACGAAUGCGAGCGGAUUACCACUCGAGUGGAAAUGUACGUUUGGUGAGGUGAGAGGUUGAAAAUGUUUGCGAGGGGGUUCAUAGAUUGGAUCUGCUGCAGUCACAAGUGAAAACGCAGGCAAGUCAUCUUCUCCCAUGCAUGACGAAGUCAUAAUUAAUGCGAAGUUGAAGCAGCGCAUCCAGUUCAAAAAGGAGACCCUAACGAGAAGUAGGGCCGAAGACUUUCGCUAAACACUUUGAGGUUUGGUGGCAGAAGGAGGAGGAGGAGGAAGAAGAAGUGAGUGAUGUGAAUGGUGGUGCAUCUGGAGACCUUUCCUCCACUUUCAAAGACUAUAAAUUUUGCUCACUACAUCCCAGGCAAAAUGGGGAGUGUCACGUAUGCAUACUGUAAAUGCUUCAAUAUCUGUUAAUAAAAAUGAUCGUUGUACAAUGAUCGAGGUGUUUAAGUUGUUUUUGCACGACCGAUGCCAUAGGUAAAGGCACAGACGGUCUGAGCGGGUCUGAGGGAGCCUAGGUGAGGGCGGCGGUGGAGAUGUAGAGUCGCUGUGUGCGGAGACGCUGAGAGCAGAGCUGCCGAGUGCAGGAUAAGCGAGGUGAAAGGUAAACAAGAGUGGGGAGAGGUUAAACACAAGUGACCGUAUAGAUAGUUAUAAGAGUGCCUACAACUGGUGCAAGAAUAGGCGAAUAAAGUGUAAGCAGGUGAACUGUUCCAACGCGUCGGUGUGAGCAACUUUUCGAAGACACUACAUUUGGUGCCACAAGUGCCAACGAACACUUCGCCCGUCAUGUCCCGAGUCGGCGAUUUAAACGUAAUGACCCAGCUGUUGCGUCACCCGAUGACGACGCCGAACUAAGGAAGGCGUCGUCCCCCUUCGAGCGCCCCGCUCUCGACGAACGUGCUCCAGUCGGCUCGGGAGUGCACGGCGAGCCCAGCCAAGCCACCUCCGCAGGAGCUGGGCUGGGCAUCGCCGGGUCACCUGGGGGAGGGUUUGCUGUCGGCCGUUGGCCGCCGCUCAUCUCUUUGAGCGGAUGACUGCCGCGACUUCUACCGGACGGCAAACACGCUCUUCCCGCCGCUGUCAUAACCGAGGCGACCGGAGCGCUGGACCUUCCCGCCAUUUCGGGGUUUGCAGCCCCGAAAUGGUGGGAAGGGCAUUGAAAAAUUUUAUACU